This is a long non-coding RNA of Gallus gallus (chicken), 360 nucleotides long. The record is from Ensembl. Lineage: Eukaryota; Metazoa; Chordata; Aves; Galliformes; Phasianidae.
AGCUUACCCGUACCCUGGGCGCGCAGAAGGGCUCCACUAAGGGUGACCUCCAGGUAGAGAUCCUUCCUCCUUGGGAGUCAGCCCUUACAUGGGGUCUAGCAGGGCUGCAGCCAGGGUCCACCCCUUCCGGUCACUCAGCUGAAACUGCCAUCACCUGUGCCCCUGCAGCUGACUCAGCACUCGCCUCAGGUGGUCAAACAGAGGGUCAGGCUGUGAUUAUACAGUUCCCAUACACCUGUAGAGCAGGAGACAAAUCCAGCCUAGUUCAGGUGCAGCUGAAAGCUGUCCUCAGCCAAAGCCUCAGCAGUUACCAGAAUGCAAACAAAGCUAUUCUUCAUGCGUUCCUUUUUUAAGUUGAUC